CUAGUAAUCGCGGAUCAGAAUGCCGCGGUGAAUGCGUUCCCGGGUCUUGUACACACCGCCCGUCACACCAUGGAAGUUGGGGGUGCCCAAAGCCGGCAGGGAAAUAUGCUGUCUAAGGCAAAACCAAUGACUGGGGUGAAGUCGUAACAAGGUAAC
This 156-nucleotide ribosomal RNA is filed under the name uncultured bacterium. RNAcentral describes it as "partial 16S ribosomal RNA". It matches the Rfam family "Bacterial small subunit ribosomal RNA", at positions 1335 to 1500 of the family's 1533-position model. The record is from RNAcentral.